ACGCUGGCGGCGUGCCUAAUACAUGCAAGUCGAGCGCAGGAAAUCGACGGACCCCUUCGGGGGGAAGUCGACGGAAUGAGCGGCGGACGGGUGAGUAACACGUAAAGAACCUGCCCUCAGAUCUGGGAUAACCACAAAAAAUCGGGGCUAAUACCGGAUGGGUCAUCGGACCGCGUGGUCCGAGGAUGAAAGGCGCUUCGGCGUCGCCUGGGGAUGGCUUUGCGGUGCAUUAGCUAGUUGGGGGGGUAAUGGCCCACCAAGGCGACGAUGCAUAGCCGACCUGAGAGGGUGAUCGGCCACGCUGGGACUGAGACACGGCCCACACUCCUACGGGAGGCAGCAGUAGGGAAUCUUCCACAAUGGACGAAAGUCUGAUGGAGCACCGCCGCGUGAACGAUGAAGGCCUUCGGGUCGUAAAGUUCUGUUGUAAAGAAAAAACAAGUGCCGCAGGCAAUGGCGGCACCUUGACGGUACCUUGCGAGAAAGCCACGGCUAACUACGUGCCAGCAGCCGCGGUAAUACGUAGGUGGCAUGCGUUGUCCGGAAUUAUUGGGCGUAAAGCGCGCGCAGGCGUCCUCUUAAGUCUGAUGUGACAGCCCCCGGCUCAGCCGGGGAGGGCCAUUGGAAACUGG
This 632-nucleotide ribosomal RNA is filed under the name uncultured bacterium. RNAcentral describes it as "bacterial SSU rRNA". It matches the Rfam family "Bacterial small subunit ribosomal RNA", at positions 33 to 636 of the family's 1533-position model. The record is from RNAcentral.